UACGGAAGAUGCGAGCGUUAUCCGGAUUUAUUGGGUUUAAAGGGAGCGUAGGCGGGCUUUUAAGUCUGCGGUUAAAUGUCGGUGCUCAACGCCGUCAUGCCGUGGAAACUGGAGGUCUUGAAUGCACUCGAGGCAAGUGGAAUUCGUGGUGUAGCGGUGAAAUGCUUAGAUAUCACGAAGAACUCCGAUAGCGAAGGCAUCUUGCUGGGGUGUGAUUGACGCUGAGGCUCGAAAGUGCGGGUAUCGAACA
Molecule: ribosomal RNA, 250 nt
Filed under: uncultured prokaryote
Description: partial 16S ribosomal RNA
Rfam family: Bacterial small subunit ribosomal RNA
Source: RNAcentral